UUUGACCUCAAAUCAGGUAGGACUACCCGCUGAACUUAAGCAUAUCAAUAAGCGGAGGAAAAGAAACCAACAGGGAUUGCCUCAGUAGCGGCGAGUGAAGCGGCAAAAGCUCAAAUUUGAAAUCUGGCGUCUUUGGCGUCCGAGUUGUAAUUUGAAGAAGGUAUCUUUGGGCCCGGCUCUUGUCUAUGUUCCUUGGAACAGGACGUCACAGAGGGUGAGAAUCCCGUGCGAUGAGAUGACCCGGGUCUGUGUAAAGUUCCUUCGACGAGUCGAGUUGUUUGGGGAA
Molecule: ribosomal RNA, 286 nt
Filed under: [Candida] sp.
Lineage: Eukaryota; Fungi; Ascomycota; Saccharomycetes; Saccharomycetales
Description: Candida sp. (in: Saccharomycetales) partial 28S ribosomal RNA
Rfam family: Eukaryotic large subunit ribosomal RNA
Source: RNAcentral